Molecule: long non-coding RNA, 4972 nt
Filed under: Malus domestica (apple)
Lineage: Eukaryota; Viridiplantae; Streptophyta; Magnoliopsida; Rosales; Rosaceae
Description: long non-coding RNA (MDOM_LNC000556)
Source: RNAcentral
ACAGUGGCUUUUUUUAAAAUCACCUCAAUCCCAAACGAGGCCGAAGUAACCUGUAACUAUUUCUUGCAGACAACACUCAACGAAGUCAAUGCAUAAGCUCUUCUCUCUAGGACAAAAAGUUGGGUCAUGUGUUUUAAGAAAAUAAGUCUAAACAAAAAAAAAAAAAACAUACAAAAUCAGUAAAUUGUUGGAUAAAUUUGGAAUCUGAGCUGUUUUGUUGAAGGGAAAAAAGUGUGAACUUUUUCUGAGAAGCUAGAAGCCAAGUUGUGAUCAGAGAGGGAAACAAUCAUGUUAUAACAAAAUUCUUAACCACCAUUAAAGAUGCUUACAUCUCUCUUUGUGAUCUCUAAUUAUCAUUUAAUUCCAAAAUUGAUACAAUAAGACAUAGCAGUUUUAGUUAAGCAUUGCUUAAAAUGAUAAUUCCCUACACUGACAACCACUAUUAUCAUAAUAAAUUACAGAUGAAUUAAAUCAACCUAUUCAGAAAAAGUCACAAAGUUCUGUACCACAGCUUUAUAACAAUGAAAAAGAAAGCUCCACUAUAACAAAAAGUGAAAACAUUAUCUAGUCCUUCUCAACAACACAACAAUUAUUAUCUUGGACAUGGGCAGAUGCCUUAUGUUCAAUAUUAAGUUACAUGUUAAAGAACUUCGGGGAGGAUGAGACAGUUCACUAUCAUAAAAACCUAAUGAAAACACCAACCAACCAAUAACAAAAUCACAAAGAUAAAAUGGUUAACAACAUUCAAUAAAGAAUCAAGAACAUUGGGUUAAACUAAAAUCACAGAGAUAGCAAGGGACCUUCAACCUUAACAGAAUCGCACAGAGAAAAUUAAAACCAAAAAAAAAAAAAAGACAAACCAUCCAACCUCUGGACAAUCAGAGGAUCACAGAGACAACAAAAAAAUGAGAAACAAAGCAGAAACCAAACAAAUAAUAUAAGGCGAUCAACCAAACAAUCAAUAAAAAAAUCAUAAAGUCGCAUUGUCUCAAACAAAAAGCACGGGAAAAGAAUGCAUUGAAGUUCAGGUGACAUACCAAAGCCUUGAUUCAAAUGCAAUGCCUCAGAACCCCUAGAUUAAUGGCAGUAGCAAGAGUUGAUCACUAUGUUGCGAUGAUAAUCCGAUCUAAACUGCAAAAAAGCAGUGAGAUUCAAAGUAAGAAUUCGAAGCGCAAACAAACAAACGUAGGAAAAGUAACUCGAUCUGUAACAGUGCAAUGGACUUACUCUAUGACAGUGCAUUGACUUAAUCUACAACAUAACUACAUUUCACGAUAGAAAAGUGGCUAAUGAUGGGAAGGUAUCAUUUGUCAUCAUGACCUUUUUAGCAUUCAACUCUUCCAUCUGAGAUGAUAGAUUAUUUUAAAAAAAAGUUAUUGAAACCUUCCAACAAACACAAAAAACGUGCUAAAACCAAACAUUUUUACCACUCAUCCCCACCCAUGUCCCGAGAUUACUAUAUUCAAAUAUUUUACGGAUGAAAGGGUGGGGGAAGGCAAGUUAUAGCACCGCAAACAAAGAGAUAAAGCGAGAGGCAACAAAGGUAAACAUCACAUGUCAAAUGUCAAAUGCCAGAUACACUUUAGGCACAAUACUACAUCAAUAGACACUUUAGGCACAUCACGUAAAAUGCUAAAUCCCAUUUAAAAAAAAAAUUAUAAACAAUCCUAAAUGCCUUAUUUCAAUCAAAAUCUACACAGAGUAAGGAGGUUAAAGAGAUGAUAAGCUAAUUAAACCUCAGGCAGAGCGUCACUCACAUAGGCCAAACAUAUACCAUAUCCCAAACCUCACUUAAAAUACACCCAAAAAUUGGAAUGAUUUCAUUCUAAUCUCAAAACAAAAGGCCAAAUGUUAAGCAUUAACUAAUGAGAAUUAAAAUAUAAACUCAAGAAUUCAAAGUUUCAAAUGUGCCAUGUCUUGGGAAAAAGUACAACCAAGAUUUGGCACCUUGACCUAUCAGAUACCCCCAUAAGACCAUCUCCAACCCUUGGGCUAAAAGCCAAAUUUUUUAGCCCGGAAAAUUUGGCUUUUAGCCCAGAAACAUCUUUUCUGCUCCAACCCUGCUGCCCUAAAAUUUUAGCCCGGAAUUAUUAAAGAAUGAACUUAGGCUAAUUUUUUUCUUAAAUCAAUUUUUUUUUAAAAUAAAUAUAUAGAUUAUUGUAAAUUAAUUUUAUGAACAUUUUAAUCUAAAAAAAUUUAAAUUCCGAUAAACAUUUGGGAUUUAGCCCGGGGGGAAAGCUGGGGGGUAUUUGGCCCAGAAAUAACAUUUGGCAUUUAGUCUAAAAUUUUAUCAUGGGUUGGAGAGUGUUUGGGGGGGGUAAUUUGGGGGGUAAUUUAGCUUUUAGCCUAGGUUUGGAGAUGGUCUAAACAAAAAUAACAAAGAUCAAUCCAAAAAGGAGUUCAACAGUUUAGAACAACAAACAGCAUAAAAAAUUAGUGAACACAACAUUCAUUCAUAUUUUCCAAUCAAUUCUAAAACCCAGAAAUCAUUACGCCUAGACCUUUUAUUUUCACCAUGGCCGUUGCUCGUACCCUACAUCUACCAAUCCAAAUUUAUUCAAGAAACAAUGCUGAGGAGAAAAUUCAGAAGUAAGAAUGUCCCAUGAUUAGUCUUCUCGUUUAUUUUUCACAAACAUUUAAAAUCCAAGUACGAAAGGUUUGCAAAAGAUAAAUAAAAAAUUUAUAUAACUAAUUAGACUUUGAACAUCAAAUCAGGGCGCAUAAUCUUAUACCUAAAAAUAGCAAGGAACUGGCUUCUUCCUCCCACAACCAGAGUUCCUGAAAUUUCCAAAGAAAGUAAAUCCGUUAGCAAUUCAGAGAAAUUGGAGGACCAAAUUGUAUUAAAUUUGAGUUAAAUGAGCAAAGGUACACCAAUUAAAUGAGAUACUAAACACAUUUUGAAUCUAUGAAAUAGAAGAACAAUCAUGUUAAGACCCCCAAGAUGGUGUCCUGAUCACAAAAUUAUAGGUUAAUAAGGGUAAAUCCCAAUCCAAAGCUCCAACCUUUUAAAUUAAAAUGAAAACAAAAAGCAUGGAACAUAUAUUUCAGUUUUAUUAUUAGAUUUUCUAAAUCCUCAAUUUGAAAAGAUAAUACCACCAACUAAGGGUGACAAUCUGACCAUUGUUGUGCAUGUCAUGUCCACUCUAUGUAACUGAAUAUAUAAAAUUUAAGCAGCCCUAGACAGUCUCCUACACAUCUACAAACCAUUAACAUUAUUUCCCCAAUUUUAUUUCCCAAUUUUAUCAAAUGCUGCAUAAACGAUCACAAUUUACUCCCUUCCAAUUUCCACCUAAUGUUGAACAAACAAUAUUGAUAAAUCUUUAUCAUCACCUUUAACAAAACAGAUUACAGCGAAAAGAAAAAAAAAGUUCCUAUGCAAACAAAUUUAAGUAGUUUAAGAUAGUCUGCUAAGUACAAAAUUAUAGUUGAAUAAAAAAAAUCCCGAUCCAAAGCUCCAACUUUUUAAUCUAAAAUGAAAAUGAAAAGCAUCGAACAUAUAAUUCAGUUUUGUUAUUAGAUUUCCUAAAAUAAACACACACACACACACACCAAACAAAAAACACCUACCCAGUUGGAAAUGAUUUUUGCAUAUUUAGGCAAAAGACAGCAUGAUUCAAAUAUAAUUUUAUUAGGGUUGGUAAAAGCACAAUCCAUCCAACAAGAUGUCUAUCGUGCAAAGAUCCACUGUCAACUAUUAUACCAACUGUGAUUCAUCUGUCACACACUUUAGUUCCAUCGUACGUACCAAACCCCACCAAACCACAUGCUAAUUAAACUAAUUAACAAAGUAAAACCAUCUUUAGUCUUUAAUAUCCAAAGCCCAAAAAAUGUUGCCCUCCUUUUGCGAACCAAAUACAAAGAGAAUAUAACACAUUUUCUAUCAAAAUAUUAUACAAAUAUGUACUAACUAAACCAAUUUUCGAGAGGAUUUAACUAACGCUAGCAUCCAAUACUUGAUUAACCAAUCAAUUUAGAGGUUGCUCUAAACACCACCUAAUCCUAUUACCACUUAAGCCAAGACAGUCGAAAAAAACAACAAAGAAAGCCAUUGGGUUACCAUAUUCAAGGGCUGCCAUUUGCAUUGAAAUGGGGGUAGCACCACAGACACAUAUCCAAACCAGACGCAACCAUUCAUAUUCUCUCAAUGCAUUGAUUUGCCAAACACAAAACACACAGCCCUAAGAUCCUGUAGUACAAUUUGGAUUUUUCUUAAGCAUGCAUACACUACAAAAGUAAUACAGUUAUUUGAAAAACGGACUCUGGCUUAUCACUUGCAGCUAUGUUUCCAAUUGCUUCUUGUGUUUGAUUACUUUUUCUUCUCUGAUGAAACAUAAAUCACAUACAUACUCCAAAAACCAAAAAGAAAAUGUUGCAAAGGGGAAAUUGGAAAAUUAUACCACCAUCAAAACUUGCACGGAAGGCAUCCUAAGUCAUAACAACGAAAGUAAAGCAAACCCGGAAAUAAAUAAACAAACUAAGAAAAGACAAAUUCAACAUCUUAAACUAUUAAUCUAUUAGAUAUCAACUAAAGAAUAAUUGUCAACCAAAUGCAUGUCAAAUGAAUAACGUAAGAAAUACUCAGCUUUCUUCCCCCCCCCCAAUAAUACCUAUGCAAACCAGCCACACCAGAGCAAGAGUAUCUCAUAUUAUCAGGGUUAAAAGCAAGAGUAUCCCAUAUCAUGCUUUUUCCCUGUCUUUUCCUUUGGCCUUGUUCUUACCUGCAAGACAAGGAGAAAGAGAGCAAUCAGUCAGCACUUGGAAUCAAGCUUCCAGUCAGGAACUGACUGCCUAGAACCCCUUGCCUGAUUACUUACCUGGCAUUGCUCUCGAGUACUCAUCUUUAACAUCUUAUGCUUCCAGAGACGAUACCACAUCUGCCUGAGGAACAGAUAGGGCAAGUGAGAAGGAUACAAGGAAGCAUGUGGAGACAAGCGUAACAGAACACGUGCCAAUACAUCUACUACUUUGUCAA